UGUCGUGAUGAUGGCAUUGAGUUGAGGUCACACCUGUUCCCAUACCGAACACAGAAGUUAAGCUCAAUAGCGCCGAAAGUAGUUGGAGGAUCGCUUCCUGCGAGGAUAGGACGUCGCGAUGC
This 122-nucleotide ribosomal RNA is filed under the name Weissella cibaria. The record is from RNAcentral. Lineage: Bacteria; Bacillati; Bacillota; Bacilli; Lactobacillales; Lactobacillaceae.